UUCAGUAUGGCAGAAUAGUGCCAUGAACUUAAGAUUCGUAUAUAAAUUUUUAUUUUGCUGAAA
Molecule: transfer RNA, 63 nt
Filed under: Deltocephalinae sp. EMHAU-2015-Zz052318
Lineage: Eukaryota; Metazoa; Arthropoda; Insecta; Hemiptera; Cicadellidae
Description: tRNA-Leu
Source: RNAcentral